RNAcentral lists this transfer RNA (84 nucleotides) under Candidatus Iainarchaeum sp. RNAcentral describes it as "tRNA-Leu". It matches the Rfam family "tRNA". Rfam says of the family: Transfer RNA (tRNA) molecules are approximately 80 nucleotides in length. Their secondary structure includes four short double-helical elements and three loops (D, anti-codon, and T loops). Lineage: Archaea; Nanobdellati; Candidatus Iainarchaeota; Candidatus Iainarchaeia; Candidatus Iainarchaeales; Candidatus Iainarchaeaceae. The record is from RNAcentral.
GCAGGGGUACCCAAGCGGUCAAAGGGGCGGGACUUAAGAUCCUGUGGCUUAGUGCCUUCGGGGGUUCGAAUCCUCCCUCCUGCA